GUGGGCUUAGAGCUGUGAGGGAAUUCGGAGUGGCCACCCGUUCUGAAAGUUUGAUUUUCUUCUGGUAAGGAUAUUGCAAGAGACGUUAAUUCACUGUGUUAGUCUGAUUUCUCCUGUUUCGUGUGAGGUUCAAGGUAGUCUCCAUGUUGUUUCUUCGUCAAAAUGAAAUCAGGUGGUUCGCAAACUUGAACGGGUUGGUACCGCGGGAGCUCGGUCAAACUAUUAACUUUCUAUAAACUAUUUCAGUAGGAGCAUGGUUAAACUAUAGUAGGAUGCUUGUAACAGAUUAUAUACUUAUCUAAUAUUUGGGUUGAACUUUACGUAAA
Gossypium arboreum is the source of this 326-nucleotide long non-coding RNA. RefSeq lists it as uncharacterized. The record is from RefSeq and is a predicted model, not a curated record. The transcript has 4 exons. Lineage: Eukaryota; Viridiplantae; Streptophyta; Magnoliopsida; Malvales; Malvaceae.